GGCCGCACAACCCGAUCACCCGAUUGGGUUCCAUCCAUGAAGACGUCGGGCAAUCAGCUGAGGACACCACCAUACUCAGAGAGAAUCAAAUGUAAUACAUAGGAUUGGAACUCUGUAAAUUCCAUCAAUUUGUCGACAUGAAACAAAUACUAUUUUAGCAAUUUCUGUCUUUCUGCCUUCUUUGAAUGUUUGAUGAACACAAAACACUGCAUAUGAGAUUCCCGAAGCUCGCUUCACUCUGCCCCCUCUUCAAUGUAACAAUCCCUAACAUCCCAUAAUGUAGGACAAUAUUUCUUUAAGAAUCUAACAUUAAUGGGAUGUUUCUGCCCAUUUCCUUCGAGGUCCGCUAGGUAGUAUCCUCUUUUAUUCAAGACUCG
Molecule: long non-coding RNA, 377 nt
Filed under: Malus domestica (apple)
Lineage: Eukaryota; Viridiplantae; Streptophyta; Magnoliopsida; Rosales; Rosaceae
Description: long non-coding RNA (MDOM_LNC018864)
Source: RNAcentral